AAAAAACUGAAAAAGCUCUCCCCUCUCCCUCUGGCCGAAGCCUAGAAUCCGGCAAGGGGGACCGCUGUGGCUCAGCCGCCCCUCCGCCGUGGACGGUGGUCAAACGCCCCAGGUAAGUUUUCGUCCUCCCUUUUCUAUAUAUAUACGAGAUAUAUAUAUACAGUUUUUCUUUUUAAACUAAAGGAAAAUAAAGAAAUUUUUUAAUAUGAACAGUUUCAAAAACUAGAAAAUAAAGAAAAUAAAAAUGACCUUUGCACGUUUCUACUUUGUUUUUUUCUUCAAUCUGCUUUGAUGCUUUUUGUUGUUUUUAUACUUGAAUCUGUUUUUUAUUGUAUUCAAGAAAAAUCCCCCUGGGAAAAAAACUACAAUGGUUUAUCAUGGCUUAUGUAGCCAUUUUACAAAACUUUAAUCUGUUUUUGUAUAUUUGCUGUCACUUUUGAUUUUGGUCUUUGUAGGUGGUGGUGCAAGUGGAGGGCGGUGCUGACAAAGGUGGUAGAGGUGGCACAGUCGGUGGCAGAUCUAUGGGAGUUAGGGGCAGCACGGACUAGGGUUUCUUUUGUUUUUCUAUUUUUUUGGGUAUUAGGCUAAUUGGGCUUGAAUUGGGAAAUUUUGGUUUUGGGCCUAUCUAAUUUUUGUUGGGUUUGUAAUUGGUUGUAUUGGGUUUUAGUUUUUUUAUGGGCCCUGGCAGAAUUGGCCCACAACAAUAUCAAAUUAGAACAUAUAAAGACAAUUUAGUAAGACUUUCGAGGGAGCAAAUUUAAAAUAAAUUUGAUAGGGUUUGGUGUAGAAACGAAGUUUCCAUGAUUUUAAAUUUUAUCUUAAUAAAAUCAUAUUGUUG
Molecule: long non-coding RNA, 838 nt
Filed under: Gossypium barbadense (sea-island cotton)
Lineage: Eukaryota; Viridiplantae; Streptophyta; Magnoliopsida; Malvales; Malvaceae
Description: long non-coding RNA (GBAR_LNC022560)
Source: RNAcentral